CCUACGGGUGGCAGCAGUAGGGAAUAUUGCUCAAUGGGGGAAACCCUGACGCAGCAACGCCGCGUGGAGGAUGAAGGCUUUCGGAUUGUAAACUCCUUUUGUUAGGGAAGAUAAUGACGGUAUCUAACGAAUAAGCACCGGCUAACUACGUGCCAGCAGCCGCGGUAAUACGGCGGGUGCAAGAGUUACUCGGAAUCACUGUGCGUAAAGAGCGCGUAGGCGGGAUAGCAAGUCAGAUGUGAAGUCCCAUGGCUUAACCAUAGGACUGCAUUUGAAACUGUUAUUCUAGAGUACGGGAGAGGUAAGUGGAAUUCUGUGUGUAGGGGUAAAAUGCGUAGAGAUCAAGAGGAAUAC
RNAcentral lists this ribosomal RNA (354 nucleotides) under uncultured bacterium. RNAcentral describes it as "partial 16S ribosomal RNA". It matches the Rfam family "Bacterial small subunit ribosomal RNA", at positions 338 to 709 of the family's 1533-position model. The record is from RNAcentral.